Molecule: ribosomal RNA, 423 nt
Filed under: uncultured bacterium
Lineage: Bacteria
Description: bacterial SSU rRNA
Rfam family: Bacterial small subunit ribosomal RNA
Source: RNAcentral
UGAGGAAUAUUGGACAAUGGGCGCAAGCCUGAUCCAGCCAUGCCGCGUGCAGGAUGACGGUCCUAUGGAUUGUAAACUGCUUUUAUACGAGAAGAAACACUCCUUCGUGAAGGAGCUUGACGGUAUCGUAAGAAUAAGGAUCGGCUAACUCCGUGCCAGCAGCCGCGGUAAUACGGAGGAUCCAAGCGUUAUCCGGAAUCAUUGGGUUUAAAGGGUCCGUAGGCGGUUUGGUAAGUCAGUGGUGAAAGCCCAUCGCUCAACGGUGGAACGGCCAUUGAUACUGCCAGACUUGAAUUAUUAGGAAGUAACUAGAAUAUGUAGUGUAGCGGUGAAAUGCUUAGAGAUUACAUGGAAUACCAAUUGCGAAGGCAGGUUACUACUAAUGGAUUGACGCUGAUGGACGAAAGCGUGGGUAGCGAACAG